Molecule: ribosomal RNA, 422 nt
Filed under: Verrucomicrobiota bacterium
Lineage: Bacteria; Pseudomonadati; Verrucomicrobiota
Description: Verrucomicrobia bacterium partial 16S ribosomal RNA
Rfam family: Bacterial small subunit ribosomal RNA
Source: RNAcentral
UGGGGAAUUUUGCACAAUGGGCGCAAGCCUGAUGCAGCGACGCCGCGUGAGGGAUGAAGGCCUUCGGGUUGUAAACCUUUUUCGCUCAUGGUCAAGCCGCAGCUUUGGGUUGUGGUGAGGGUAGUGGGUAAAGAAGCGCCGGCUAACUACGUGCCAGCAGCCGCGGUAAUACGUAGGGCGCGAGCGUUGUCCGGAAUUCUUGGGCGUAAAGGGCUUGUAGGCGGUUGGCCGCGUCUGCCGUGAAAUCCUCUGGCUUAACUGGGGGCGUGCGGUGGGUACGGGUUGGCUUGAGUGCGGUAGGGGGGACUGGAAUUCCUGGUGUAGCGGUUGAAUGCGCAGAUAUCAGGAGGAACGCCGGUGGCGAAGGCGGGUCUCUGGGCCGUUACUGACGCUGAGGAGCGAAAGCGUGGGGAGCGAACAGG